This 875-nucleotide ribosomal RNA is filed under the name uncultured Acidobacteriota bacterium. Its description in RNAcentral is "SSU rRNA". It matches the Rfam family "Bacterial small subunit ribosomal RNA", at positions 8 to 916 of the family's 1533-position model. Lineage: Bacteria; Pseudomonadati; Acidobacteriota. The record is from RNAcentral.
AGAGUUUGUUCCUGGCUCAGAAUCAACGCUGGCGGCGCGCCUAACACAUGCAAGUCGAACGGGAAAGUGGAGCAAUCCAUGAGUACGGUGGCGUACGGGUGAGUAACACGUGGGUAAUCUACCUCUUAGUGGGGAAUAACCCUGGGAAACCGGGGCUAAUACCGCAUAAGCCUGAGAAGGGAAAGCAGCAAUGCGCUGAGAGAGGAGCCCGCGGCCGAUUAGCUAGUUGGCAGGGUAAGAGCCUACCAAGGCAGAGAUCGGUAGCCGGCCUGAGAGGGCACACGGCCACACUGGCACUGAAACACGGGCCAGACUCCUACGGGAGGCAGCAGUGGGGAAUCUUGCACAACGGGGGAAACCCUGAUGCAGCGACGCCGCGUGAGCGAUGAAGCCCUUCGGGGUGUAAAGCUCUUUCGUCAGGGAAGAUAAUGACGGUACCUGGAGAAGCAGCUGCGGCUAACUACGUGCCAGCAGCCGCGGUAAUACGUAGGCAGCGAGCGUUGUUCGGAGUUACUGGGCGUAAAGGGUGUGUAGGCGGUUCUUUAAGUUUGGUGUGAAAUCUCCCGGCUCAACCGGGAGGGUGCGCCGAAUACUGAGGGACUAGAGUACGGGAGAGGAAAGUGGAAUUCCUGGUGUAGCGGUGAAAUGCGUAGAUAUCAGGAGGAACACCGGUGGUGUAGACGGCUUUCUGGACCGUAACUGACGCUGAGACACGAAAGCGUGGGUAGCAAACAGGAUUAGAUACCCUGGUAGUCCACGCCCUAAACGAUGCAUAUUUGGUGUGGGUCAUUCAGUUGAUCCGUGCCGGAGCUAACGCGUUAAAUAUGCCGCCUGGGGAGUACAGUCGCAAGGCUGAAACUCAAAGGAAUUGACGG